UGACGCCUCACAUGGCUCGGAAUUACUGGAGGAACCAUACAGCUGGAGCUCCACAGCUCCAGAGCUCCAUUGCAGAGAGUAUUUUGAUUGCUCAAUCCCCCUCGCAUUCCAGCACUCCUUUCGUUACCAUUAAACUGCCAUACGCCUUAGAAUUUCCCGAUAAUUCCAUUGCAACUACAUGUUGUACACAUACCCGAGAAUUCCCCAUUUAAAUGAAGUCGCGGCAAGUGCUUCGCCGCUGAUUAGGAUUCGUAGAAGUGCAGGCACCAUAAAAGCGAAAGUCUUGACGCCAUUAGAGAGCAAUCAACGCCGGCAACUGGAGGCACUGGCCCAGUUGGAGGAGAAUGAGGAGGAGGCAGCUCAUAAAGUGUCAACUAUGACUGGUGCCAUGAGUACACAGACAGCCCGAGAUAGGGGGCCAGAUAGACAACUAUGGCCAUGGCCAGAUCCAGAAUGUGGGACCAUGCGAUGCUCAAAUACGAAUUGGAAUCAUGGAAUCGGAGACAACGCGACUCGACCCACUAUAUUUGGCCUCGUGACGUUAUGGGUUGGCAAACAAAUACGUAUCCAACACUCGCCAGGUUGUUGAUGCACAGUAACAAAUACAGAACACUGAGAUAUCAAAAAACGAAAUUUUGUGACCUGUAUUUGCAUACAUGAAUCAAAGUUUAUUCAUUGUCUAAAAAGAUGAUGAAACUUAUAAAAACAAAU
This is a long non-coding RNA of Drosophila gunungcola (fruit fly), 711 nucleotides long. RefSeq lists it as uncharacterized. The transcript is spliced from 3 exons. The record is from RefSeq and is a predicted model, not a curated record. NCBI's taxonomy places the organism in Eukaryota, Metazoa, Arthropoda, Insecta, Diptera, Drosophilidae.